GGCCGGUUAGCCCAGUGGUGUGAGCACGGUGCUGACAACAAUGACAACACCGAGAUCGCGGGUUCGAUUCCCGCUUGGUCCC
Apaloderma vittatum (bar-tailed trogon) is the source of this 82-nucleotide non-coding RNA. Lineage: Eukaryota; Metazoa; Chordata; Aves; Trogoniformes; Trogonidae. The record is from Rfam.